Molecule: ribosomal RNA, 736 nt
Filed under: Priestia megaterium
Lineage: Bacteria; Bacillati; Bacillota; Bacilli; Caryophanales; Bacillaceae
Description: bacterial SSU rRNA
Rfam family: Bacterial small subunit ribosomal RNA
Source: RNAcentral
UGGGGUGCGGGUCUAAUACAUGCAAGUCGAGCGAACUGAUUAGAAGCUUGCUUCUAUGACGUUAGCGGCGGACGGGUGAGUAACACGUGGGCAACCUGCCUGUAAGACUGGGAUAACUUCGGGAAACCGAAGCUAAUACCGGAUAGGAUCUUCUCCUUCAUGGGAGAUGAUUGAAAGAUGGUUUCGGCUAUCACUUACAGAUGGGCCCGCGGUGCAUUAGCUAGUUGGUGAGGUAACGGCUCACCAAGGCAACGAUGCAUAGCCGACCUGAGAGGGUGAUCGGCCACACUGGGACUGAGACACGGCCCAGACUCCUACGGGAGGCAGCAGUAGGGAAUCUUCCGCAAUGGACGAAAGUCUGACGGAGCAACGCCGCGUGAGUGAUGAAGGCUUUCGGGUCGUAAAACUCUGUUGUUAGGGAAGAACAAGUACGAGAGUAACUGCUCGUACCUUGACGGUACCUAACCAGAAAGCCACGGCUAACUACGUGCCAGCAGCCGCGGUAAUACGUAGGUGGCAAGCGUUAUCCGGAAUUAUUGGGCGUAAAGCGCGCGCAGGCGGUUUCUUAAGUCUGAUGUGAAAGCCCACGGCUCAACCGUGGAGGGUCAUUGGAAACUGGGGAACUUGAGUGCAGAAGAGAAAAGCGGAAUUCCACGUGUAGCGGUGAAAUGCGUAGAGAUGUGGAGGAACACCAGUGGCGAAGGCGGCUUUUUGGUCUGUAACUGACGCUGAGGCG